GACGUUAAAAAUAGCGCUUAUUGGGAGGCAACCCAAUCUUGGUUAGUUCGUUUCUUUUCUAUUUUUUUUAGUUGUUUUUGUGCCCCACAAAUCCUUUUUAAACUUAUUCUCCUUAAUGGUGAAUAAGUUUGGGGGGAUGUGUCUUUGUGGGUGCAUUUUUCUUUUUGGUUGUUUUUGUUUGUGUCGUCGUUGAGUUUUCUUAGUCUUGCUUUGGUGGUUUCUUUGUGAUGUUACCUUGAUGAUGAUGUGAGUAGUGUAGAGUUUUGUUGGAUAAUUGGCUUAUGACGAUUUCUGCUUUAAAAUUGUGAAAUUGCAUGCAUUUGUGUUGAUAUUGUUCUGAUUGAGCAUGAUUGAUGAAUGAUAAGCAUGGUCUCUUUUGAUGUUGCAA
RNAcentral lists this long non-coding RNA (388 nucleotides) under Salvia miltiorrhiza (redroot sage). RNAcentral describes it as "long non-coding RNA (SMIL_LNC000138)". The record is from RNAcentral. Lineage: Eukaryota; Viridiplantae; Streptophyta; Magnoliopsida; Lamiales; Lamiaceae.